UGUAUGUCAUGAUACAGGAGAGAGAGAAGUGGUUUUCCAGAGUGGCAAGAGGACACGGUCCCAGUGCCCUGGUGAAGUGCUCUCCUCUGCAAGGAGCAGGUCCAGUUCAUCCCUGGGAACAGGAAGGAAGGCAGGGCCAAGGGGCAGAGAUUCAGUUCUGAGAGAAUAAAUCAGUUCUCCUCCAAUUGCUUCUAUUUUCUCACUACAAUCAAUGAGAAGCAAUAUCAUCAGAUGGGAAUGAGAAAGGGAAGGAGUUCUAAGGAGAGAUGAGAACAUUUGAAACAGCCAUCUCAGAGUUUGUGCCUUCGUGCUCACAGUCACCGCAUGACUACAAAAUGGCGACUCUGCCUCCAGCAUUGCAUCAGCAUUCCAGGGAGAAGAAAUGGGACAACAGAUGAUGAAAGCAACCCCCUUGACAAAAUUGCUGAAGCAAUAUGGGACUUUUUAAGAUUACAAGAGCCACGUGGUUAAUAUUACUGGAAUGUUUUCAUGAGUGUGAAAUGCAGUUGUCACAGAGAAGCUUCUACUCAUCAUCUUAAGGCAAACACCAAAGUUCUUCAGAACAACUGAUUCCCCCUACAAGGAGAAAUAUCCAAGGCCUUCAUCCACCAGAACAGUCAAAUCAUUGAAAUUUAUCAGGCCUCGUGCAGUGGCUCACGCCUGUAAUCCCAGCACUUUGGGACACCGAGGUGGGUGGAUCACUUGAGGUCAGGA
RNAcentral lists this long non-coding RNA (714 nucleotides) under Homo sapiens (human). RNAcentral describes it as "HSALNT0403901". Lineage: Eukaryota; Metazoa; Chordata; Mammalia; Primates; Hominidae. The record is from RNAcentral.